GACGAACGCUGGCGGCGUGCUUAACACAUGCAAGUCGUACGGAAAGGCCCUGCUUGCAGGGUACUCGAGUGGCGAACGGGUGAGUAACACGUGGGUGAUCUGCCCUGCACUUCGGGAUAAGCCUGGGAAACUGGGUCUAAUACCGGAUAGGAGCCAUUUUUAGUGUGAUGGUUGGAAAGUUUUUUCGGUGUAGGAUGAGCUCGCGGCCUAUCAGCUUGUUGGUGGGGUAAUGGCCUACCAAGGCGGCGACGGGUAGCCGGCCUGAGAGGGUGGACGGCCACAUUGGGACUGAGAUACGGCCCAGACUCCUACGGGAGGCAGCAGUGGGGAAUAUUGCACAAUGGGCGCAAGCCUGAUGCAGCGACGCCGCGUGGGGGAUGACGGCCUUCGGGUUGUAAACUCCUUUCGCUAGGGACGAAGCUUUUUGUGACGGUACCUAGAUAAGAAGCACCGGCUAACUACGU
Molecule: ribosomal RNA, 464 nt
Filed under: uncultured bacterium
Lineage: Bacteria
Description: partial 16S ribosomal RNA
Rfam family: Bacterial small subunit ribosomal RNA
Source: RNAcentral